RNAcentral lists this ribosomal RNA (254 nucleotides) under uncultured bacterium. RNAcentral describes it as "partial 16S ribosomal RNA". It matches the Rfam family "Bacterial small subunit ribosomal RNA", at positions 524 to 776 of the family's 1533-position model. The record is from RNAcentral.
CACGUAGGGAGCAAGCGUUGUCCGGAUUUAUUGGGCGUAAAGAGCUCGUAGGCUGUUCGAUAAGUCGGGGGUGAAACCUCCAGGCUCAACCUGGAGACGCCACCCGAUACUGUCAUGACUAGAGUCCGGUAGGGGAGCGUGGAAUUCCUGGUGUAGCGGUGAAAUGCGCAGAUAUCAGGAGGAACACCGGUGGCGAAGGCGGCUUGCUGGGCCAGUUCUGACGCUGAGGAGCGAAAGCGUGGGGAGCGAACAGG